This 148-nucleotide small RNA is filed under the name human gut metagenome. RNAcentral describes it as "M-box riboswitch (ykoK leader)". It matches the Rfam family "M-box riboswitch aptamer (ykoK leader)", at positions 11 to 156 of the family's 169-position model. From Rfam's summary of the family: M-box riboswitch, also know as ykoK leader is described as a metaloregulatory RNA that sense divalent metals and function as a genetic control element of genes related to divalent metal transport in bacteria. It was first reported upstream of the B.subtilis ykoK gene and genes with related functions in other bacteria. The record is from RNAcentral.
GUUCCGGUAGGUAAGGCUACCACAGGGAUAUGGAUUGCUGCCGCGAAGUAGUGGAGACACUAUCAGAUGGUUGAACAGGCAAUAUCGAAAAGCAAGGUAUUGUCUAAUGCAAUUUCACCGCCCUGCGAAGCUAAAGCUUGAACGGUGA